GUCAGGGUAGCUCAGCUGGUUAGAGCAUGGGACUCAUAAACCCAAGGUCGGGAGUUCGACUCUCCCCUCUGACACCA
RNAcentral lists this transfer RNA (77 nucleotides) under Patescibacteria group bacterium. Its description in RNAcentral is "tRNA-Met". It matches the Rfam family "tRNA". From Rfam's summary of the family: Transfer RNA (tRNA) molecules are approximately 80 nucleotides in length. Their secondary structure includes four short double-helical elements and three loops (D, anti-codon, and T loops). The record is from RNAcentral.